This 663-nucleotide ribosomal RNA is filed under the name Triticum aestivum (bread wheat). RNAcentral describes it as "partial small subunit ribosomal RNA". Lineage: Eukaryota; Viridiplantae; Streptophyta; Magnoliopsida; Poales; Poaceae. The record is from RNAcentral.
AUGGCGGGCGGGUGCAAGGCGGCGAUCGGGUGCGUGGACGCGCGCGUGCCGGUGCGGGCCAGCUACGUCAGCCUCUACAAGUGGCCCGAGUCCGACGCCGAGUUCGUCCGGUCCGUCGCCAUGGCGCGGCGCCACCGCCAGCACCCGGACAGCCCCGCUGCCGCUGCCGCCGGGUGCUACGGCGGCGGCAGCGCCAGCAUGCGCCGCGGGGCUGGCGUCGAUGUCGGUGGAGACAGCCCGCGGGUGGUGGACAGCUACUCGUGCCGCCAGAUGUACCUCCGCAGCUACACCUUCUCGACGCGGAAGGAGACCGUGCCCGAGCGCACCAUGGCGUGCCUCGGCCGCGUCCGGGAGCGCGCCGCCGUCUUCCCCAGCUUCCUCCCGCACCGGGGCGGCGGCGGCGGGUCCGACGCCGGAAGCUCGUUCGGCAGCUCGAGCGGCGGUGGAUGCCAGUACUCCGGGAGGGAUCAAGACGGGCGCCGCGGGACUACGACCGGCGGCAGCAACGGGAGGAGGAAGCGGAGGAGGAAGAAGAAGGGGUGCGCCGUGGUGAGGAGGCUGCAGGAGGCGUCGUGCGGCGCGGUGCGGGCCAUCUUCCGCCGCCUGCUCGCCUGCACCACCACCGUCGACGUCGAGGUCGCCGAGCCGCCGCCCGGCCGGUGA